Molecule: long non-coding RNA, 2834 nt
Organism: Wyeomyia smithii (pitcher-plant mosquito)
Lineage: Eukaryota; Metazoa; Arthropoda; Insecta; Diptera; Culicidae
Exons: 3
Source: RefSeq, a predicted model, not a curated record
AACUAUCACACAAUCAAAUUAUUUAGCUUCCGUUAAACUUUCAGCACGAUCAGUUAGCUCAUGAUUAAUCUAACGGGCUCUAUAUUUUGAUUAUUUAUUUGCAGCACUUUAUUUUAAAAGAAAAAAUAUACUCUUUAACAUUGAUGAAUACCUUUCAUCCUAAUACAGUCAAUUUUUUUCAAUAAAUCUUUUAUCUAUCUAUUUAUAUAAAAAAAAGUUUUGUAUGUAUGUAUGUAUGUAGGUAUGUUCCAGCAUAACUCUCGAAGGCCUGAACCGAUUUCAACCAAACAUGGCAUACGUGUUUUUUGUACAAAGGAAGUGGUCAAAGAAAUAUUGGAUAGGGGGAGGGGUUGCCCUUAAAGAAGGAGGGGGUCAAAAGUAAUAAAUUUUCAUACAUAAUAAAAACCUUUCAUUGAAAUUUGAUCAUUUUCGGGUUCUUGGUCAUAUUUGGAGGCCGGAAGUUGAUGUCCAGAGACCGAAACAUGAUGUUCGAUGCCAUUUUCAAUCCAAGAUGGCGACUUCCGGUUUCUGAGAAGCCAUUUAAAACUGUGGAAAACGCUCACAAACCCCCCAAUGUUGGUACUUUUGGAGCAAAAAUGACUCUUAAGAACCGGUUAUCGGUGUCUGACGAUACUUUGAAACUUGGGUUGCCGACUUUCGGUUUAUGGGAAUCUGGGAAAAUUAAUAAUUGAAUUAUAUACUUGGCAAUACGGGUAUUUUCGGAAUCGGAAUGACGUCGUCAUACGAAAAUCGAUCAUAUAUUUCCAAAUAUUGGCCUUUUUGAAAAUCGGCUUUCGUGCAAAUGUUUCUAGAGAAGUGUUUCAAAACAUCCAACCUACUUUGAUCCGUUUUUGGAAAGAUUUCUUGACAUAUUUCUUGCAUAAUUUAAUAACGUAGAGUCCAAUUUAGCAUUUUGGAUAAAAAAUAUGUUUGGAAAAGUUGCUGAAGCUCAACUUUUACCGAAUUGAAAUUUGGUUAAGAGCAUCGAUCAAAUAAGAGUUUUUUCAUGCAUUAUAGGAACUUUCUGAAUGAAUACGAUAGUUUUUAGGCCUUUGGUCAUGUCUGGAGACCGGAAAUUGAUUUCCAGAGACCGGAACAUGAAGCGGUCUUAAUUUAAAAGAAAGUCAGGUCUUUUAGUGCCCUAUGGGAACUUUUUGAAAAGGUACGAUAACUUUCAUGCCCUCGGUCGGUCAUGGCCAGAAGUUGAUGUCUAAGGACCGGAAUAUGAUGUCCGAUGUUUUUCUUAAACAAAAAUGGCGACUUUUGGUUUCUGGGAAACUAUAUACAACUGUUAAAUGUAAUAUACGAUCUAAAUUUAAGUAUUCACAAAGUAGAGUGUACUUUGGUUCAAAUGUCAAGUGGGCCUAAUGCCCAAACCCUUGUUAUGUAAACAUAUACAUAAUUAACAUAUAAGGUUCGCAAGGUUUGCUGAGCAGUAAAAUAAAUAAGUUCGACCUCUUCGAUUCAGAUCGUCAGCGAUAACGGACGUGUUUCAGCCGUUUGAGUAAAACCGAAAGCAUAAAGAUAAAACUAAAAUUUAUUAGUGGCGACCAGGUGAAAAAAAGUUUAAGUUUCGCGUGUGAUAUUGGUUGCUGUUGCUGUACUGCGAUUAUUUGCUACACGAUGGUGUACGGGCGUUGGGCGGAGUUCUCCAGGAAGCAGAUUCUUCACGGGAGCUUAAUUUUGAUCGCCGGUCAAAAGUGACGCUUAUAUGCAUCGGCUAAAUUUUGGCAUGCAAUUUAGGGGAUAGCAGGAUACAUCUGGACUAUAACGGAACUUUCGGUUUUCAACGAUUUUAUUGGAUUCUGUUUUUUCGCAAAACGAAGCAUCGAUAAAAGAAUCGAUUUGGCUUGGCAAAAAAUUCAAGAGAAGAUCGCACUGACAAUAAAGGGAUUUAGCAAUAAUAGCUGGCGUUUUAAACGGUUAUGAUCAAUGGCAUUGGUUGUGAAGAUCUCGAUCGGAUCAGUCUUGGUCUCGGCCCACAAGGGGCAGAUUAAACUCCCAAAGAAGUCUGAACACAGGCGCAAUGUGGCGUUUCAGAUGGUGGACCAUACGGCGCGAACACUCAGUCGAGGCACGAAAAGGCGACAUGAGGAUUCCGAGGACGAAGAGCCGUUUCAUGGAUUUUCACCCGGCAUGGAAACGCUACCGCCAAACAGAAGUGAAGUACACCCACGAGUAUUUCAAUCGAAUCGAAUCGCAAAGUGCAGGAGUUUCAAAUGGCUCCACUCGAAGUAACAUUAAUGAAGGAUUGAGAAGAUCUACCAGGGCUGUGAAGAAAAGAUUUGAUGGAAAUUUUAUAUAUUUCAAGUGAUAUUAAAUUUAACUUGAGUUCUGAAAUUCAAAGGUAGAAGAUAGAUUGUAAAUUGGUUCAAAUGUCAAAUGGGCCUAAUGCCCAAACCCUUGUUAUGUAAACAUAUACAUAAUUAACAUAUAAGGUUCGCAAGGUUUGCUGAGCAGUAAAAUAAAUAAGGUCGAUCUCUUCGAUUCAGAUCGUCAGCGAUAACGGACGUGUUUCAGCCGUUUGAGUAAAACCGAAAGCAUAAAGAUAAAACUAUAAUUUAUUAUAAAAAACAUUUACAAACCUCCAAACAUUGGUAUUUCCGGAACCAGGAUAACCUUUAGAAACCAGAAAUAAAAGUCCAACGACAUUUUUUAAAUUCAAUAUGGUGACUUCCGAUUUCAAAAUUUUGUGAAAAACGAAUAUAUGCUCUGCAAUAUGUAUAUUUUCGAUAUCAAGAUGACGUCCAGAAUCCAAAUAUUCAUGUCCGGUGCAAAUUUUUAAAUCGUACAUGGCGGAUUACAUUUUCUGGGAAGGUUACUAGAAUACAGAA